CCUACGGGAGGCAGCAGUGGGGAAUAUUGGGCAAUGGGCGCAAGCCUGACCCAGCAACGCCGCGUGAAGGAAGAAGGCUUUCGGGUUGUAAACUUCUUUUCUCAGGGACGAAGCAAGUGACGGUACCUGAGGAAUAAGCCAAGGCUAACUACGUGCAAGCAGCCGCGGUAAUACGUAGGUGGCAAGCGUUAUCCGUAUUUACUGGGUGGAAAGGGCGGGUAGGCGGGACUGCAAGUUAGAUGUGAAAACCACGGGCUCAACCUGUGGCCUGCAUUUGAAACUUUAGUUCUUGAGUACUGGAGAGGCAGACGGAAUUCCUAGUGUAGCGGUGAAAUGCGUAGAUAUUAGGAGGAACACCAGUGGCGAAGGCGGUCUGCUGGACAGCAACUGACGCUGAGGCGCGAAAGCGUGGGGAGCAAACAGGAUUAGAUACCCCUGUAGUC
This 443-nucleotide ribosomal RNA is filed under the name uncultured bacterium. RNAcentral's name for it is "partial 16S ribosomal RNA". It matches the Rfam family "Bacterial small subunit ribosomal RNA", at positions 338 to 795 of the family's 1533-position model. The record is from RNAcentral.